GGAAUUUUUCGUGUUGGGGUGAAAUGCGUAGAGAUGUGGAGGAAUACCGGUGGCGAAGGCGGCCUUCUGGACAGAUACUGACGCUGAGAUGCGAAAGCGUGGGGAGCAAACAGGAUUAGAUACCCUGGUAGUCCACGCUGUAAACGAUGUCGAUUUGGAGUUUGUUGCCUAGAGUGAUGGGCUCCGAAGCUAACGCGAUAAAUCGACCGCCUGGGGAGUACGGCCGCAAGGUUAAAACUCAAAUGAAUUGACGGGGGCCCGCACAAGCGGUGGAGCAUGUGGUUUAAUUCGAUGCAACGCGAAGAACCUUACCUGGUCUUGACAUCCACAGAAUCUUGCAGAGAUGUGAGAGUGCCUUCGGGAACUGUGAGACAGGUGCUGCAUGGCUGUCGUCAGCUCGUGUUGUGAAAUGUUGGGUUAAGUCCCGCAACGAGCGCAACCCUUAUCCUUUGUUGCCAUCGGUUAGGCCGGGAACUCAAAGGAGACUGCCGUUGAUAAAGCGGAGGAAGGUGGGGACGACGUCAAGUCAUCAUGGCCCUUACGACCAGGGCUACACACGUGCUACAAUGGCGUAUACAAAGGGAGGCGACCUCGCGAGAGCAAGCGGACCUCAUAAAGUACGUCUAAGUCCGGAUUGGAGUCUGCAACUCGACUCCAUGAAGUCGGAAUCGCUAGUAAUCGUGAAUCAGAAUGG
Molecule: ribosomal RNA, 694 nt
Filed under: uncultured Gilliamella sp.
Lineage: Bacteria; Pseudomonadati; Pseudomonadota; Gammaproteobacteria; Orbales; Orbaceae
Description: bacterial SSU rRNA
Rfam family: Bacterial small subunit ribosomal RNA
Source: RNAcentral